AGUCGAGCGAACAGACGAGGAGCUUGCUCCUCUGACGUUAGCGGCGGACGGGUGAGUAACACGUGGAUAACCUACCUAUAAGACUGGGAUAACUUCGGGAAACCGGAGCUAAUACCGGAUAAUAUAUUGAACCGCAUGGUUCAAUAGUGAAAGACGGUUUUGCUGUCACUUAUAGAUGGAUCCGCGCCGCAUUAGCUAGUUGGUAAGGUAACGGCUUACCAAGGCAACGAUGCGUAGCCGACCUGAGAGGGUGAUCGGCCACACUGGAACUGAGACACGGUCCAGACUCCUACGGGAGGCAGCAGUAGGGAAUCUUCCGCAAUGGGCGAAAGCCUGACGGAGCAACGCCGCGUGAGUGAUGAAGGUCUUCGGAUCGUAAAACUCUGUUAUUAGGGAAGAACAAAUGUGUAAGUAACUAUGCACGUCUUGACGGUACCUAAUCAGAAAGCCACGGCUAACUACGUGCCAGCAGCCGCGGUAAUACGUAGGUGGCAAGCGUUAUCCGGAAUUAUUGGGCGUAAAGCGCGCGUAGGCGGUUUUUUAAGUCUGAUGUGAAAGCCCACGGCUCAACCGUGGAGGGUCAUUGGAAACUGGAAAACU
This 600-nucleotide ribosomal RNA is filed under the name Staphylococcus epidermidis. RNAcentral describes it as "bacterial SSU rRNA". It matches the Rfam family "Bacterial small subunit ribosomal RNA", at positions 60 to 642 of the family's 1533-position model. The record is from RNAcentral. Lineage: Bacteria; Bacillati; Bacillota; Bacilli; Caryophanales; Staphylococcaceae.